GGAAUCCCCUGGCAUGGACUAGGACCCCGCUGUCCUAGGUGCUGUACAAACCCAGAACAAAAGGCAGUCCCUGCCCUGAAGAGCUAGAGAAGCAGAUGGCAGUAACACCAAGAUCUGGGCCGACUACAUAGUAAGAGUGAGCGCCUGCCUCGAAGAGCUUACAUUCUAAACAGACAUGGGAAGAAAGAAAUAUUGUGAUCCUCAUUAUACAGAUGGAGAGGCUGAGGUGCAGAGAGAUUAAUGACUUGCCCAGGGUUACAGAGGAAAUCUGCGGCAAAGCCAGGAAAUGAAUCCAGGUCUGCUGAGCCGCAGUCCAGUGCCUAAGCCACAAGACCGUCCUUCCACUGGAAGUCACAUUACUGUUAGGAUUUUGCUAAUUAUUCUCUCAGGCCUUUCUUCUUCUGUGAUAGCCUUGGGUUUGGCAGCACAGGUCAUAGUUCCCCUUGGUUCUAUUAUUUUCUUGCCAUCUUUCCUUCUUUCCAUCAGUCCUGAAACUCUUCCUUAGUUUUUAUUCUGUCCUCACUUAAGCGGACACCUUCUGAAGUCAAAGGGAGUAGUGCGUGAGUACAGAAUUGAAGAUUUGGCCCAGUGACUAGAACUGGGACUUUCUAGAAUUGAAUGUGUCUGCGAAAUCCUUCUGUCCUGUGGUUCUUUAGCUCCCUUCUCAGUAUUUGUGGUAAGGAUUUGUGCAAUUUUGACGUGUGUAAUAACCAUCUAAUCAUCAUGACCAGGGCAGUGUCUCCAUUCCACACCCAAUCCCCUUUUCUCUGGGCUCAUUUUCUUAACUAUCACUUUCGUAUCUAGAGCUCUGAUGCUCUCCAAGUCAAACACACACCACUUCGCGGAGCAUCCCUGUGUUGCUCUCUCCUGCUUCUUGUUCCCGUUCUUGCAAGGGUGACACCUUUGCUGAGAAUGGGCAGGGGGAAAGGCUGUAGGGUGAAGGGAUAUUUUUGGGAUGAAGUUGUAAAGUGCCCCCUUGUUCAGGCUUUUCCUCCGUCCAGCACUUACUUGUCCCCUCUUGCUUCCGACUACUGUCUGCCCCACUGCGCUGCUGCUCCCUCUCACAGGGACUUGGCCUAAAGAUAGUGUUAAUAAGUACAGUGUUUGGUGCAGGAUGAUGGUGUUAACAGCACAGUGACAGAGGAGGGAGAAGAGACUAUAGCAGACUCCUAUUGUCCUAAGUUAACAAUAACCUCACAGGCCUGGUGAGGGGGCCUCAGGGGCCAUUGAGGCAGUCAUGUUACUACCCACCACCCCUUCGCAAACAGCGGUUGCUAUAAGAACUGCAAUUAGCAGCCAUUUGUUAUUAACCAAGAGAAAGAUGCAUUCCUGGCCGUAUCGCAAAGAAUUGGCUGGGAAUCCUGGGCUAGAUCUGCAUUUCUGGCCAAGUUUCGAUGGACUGCAAGGCAGCCAGCCCUGCCUCGUACUGUAAUAGUGUGUUUCUUUCCAGAUCUUACUCUCUAGAGGGAGCAGCAGGGAGCGCUGUCUGCUCACACAUCCUGGAACUCUCCAACUGACUGCAUUAGAGGUAGCAAAGUACUGAAGAGGGAGCUGAGUAAUAGAAAUAGAAGGUGCCCUCUGGAGCUUGUUUGUGUGACUGAAUUAACUGGCCUCCCCUGAGCUCUUGCCAACCUCCACCCCCCACUCGGGUUUUCAGGGUUGCACCUUUAUGGGAAGGCUAUUUUUGAAAACUGCCCCACCCCUCUCUCUGCCCCAGGUCCCGUAAUAAGAGAAUAAGGAGGCACUUUGUGAAAUGAAUGGCUGGUAAAUUUAGAUCAAAUAAAAGGAAAUCCUUCCUCACACAGCAUGUGCAGCCACCCUGAUGGAAAGCACCGUUGGGAGCAGGUCAUCCAGGACCAGCACUGAGGCUGCAUUGUAGUAAGGCCUGGGUGGCUGGUUCUGACCUGUAAUAUAACAGAGUAGUUAUGUGGGCUAAGAUAGUAAAGGCAAUUCAGGCUCCUGAUUCAAACAUACACUGAUCACUGGCAGGGUGGGGGGAGGGCAGGAAGGAACACCCCACCUUCUCCAAUGUGCAGCACUAUACAAAUGGCUACAUUAGUGAGGAGGAGGGGGACCCACACUCUUAAAAUGGGCCGGCAAGCUGGUGUUAGAGCUGGGGGAGGCCGUGGAGGCACUCUGAGGUGCAAACUGAGUACAUGCCUUGAUUUUUGUUACUGCCCAGGUAAUUAGUGUAUCGGGGGAACCCCCCUAAGCAAAGCAUCCCGAUUGCAAAUUACCACAGCUCUCAGCAUUUCUUCAUCCACUUCGCAGCUAAGGCAAUAGCUGAAGCAUGUGGCAGCUUUUCACACCGCUCUCUUGCCCACCCUCCUGUCCUGCACACGUGGAGACUGGGACACAGGACGCCCUGGAUGUUACCAUAUCAGGGACUGUUGUGCACGUUUCCAGGCUGCUGAAUACCUGACUGGUAUCUAUAGAGAACAUUCCCUUCCCAGCGAGACAGGGGCCGUGAGUUGUGCUCAGGCAGGCAGGCCAUGGACUCCCCUCCCGCCUCCCCCACAGAAGAAUAUGAGUGUGUAAAUGUUUCCUGCCCGGUUGUUUAGCCCUUGCACACGUUAGUGAGCACUUCCCCACGUGACAUGUCCCCCUGAAGUCAGUGGAGUUGCUGGUGGCUGUAAGAGCUCAUCACUGUAAGGAUCCUUAAACAUUUUUGCGCCAGAUUCUCAACCGGCAUAAAUCACUGUAGCUCCAUGGACUUCAAUGGAGCUGGGCUGAUUGACCCAGCUAAAGAUGUGAUGUGGGUGUGGCACAGCCAUUGUGCAAACACCGUUCAGGUAAUAACCUGCCUGGGACUUCUCAGCAGGCCAGGAUUUGCAGGUUUGCCAAUGAUAACAGCAAAGAUAAGAUACAAGAACCCUGCACUCAGUUAGGCUCCCCCUCCUUCUGUUAUCAUCCUCUUGAAAGGUGCUUUGUACUGUGUGCUUAUCCUUGCAACAAGGCAUUGAGCAGGUAUAAACAGCCGUCCUACACACACUCGCAUGCCUCUCCUCCAACAGCCCUUAUCCUAAGCAACCUCUGUGCUUCAUUUCAUACACUAACUCUCCAUGCUACAGCUUAACCCCCAGCCCCAUAUCAAACUCCACCAGAACAGCUGGAGAGCGAACAACCAAAGUAAGCCCAGGUUAGCAGUGGCUGAAACUACCAGCUCCUGGUGGUUUGGUGGCCUCCAUGAAAUGAAUUGGGGGUUUCAUGGAAGCCACCAGCUAACUGGCACCCGGGUUGCAGAGCCAGCACUAGGCAUAAGCAGACUAAGCAAUUGCUUAGGGCCCCGAGCAGCUCAAGGGGGGCCCCCUAUUCGCUUUUCAUUAUGUGUUGCGUGGGGGGAGGGGAUAUUCCUGCUUAGGGCUCCCAAUGGGCUAGUACUGCCUCUGCUGGGUUGACAGUUUCAGCAGAGAGGGCCAGGCCUGUAUGGAAGUUGAACUCCCCUUCAGCCUCUAAACAAGGUGUCUCCAGCGCAGGGUUGAAGUACACUGAUGGGGCAGUGUGGGAGAAGCUUGCACAGUCGAUGUCCACACUCUGUCAGUACUGUGAAUGAACACCCCAAGGCUGUUGGUCCCACAUCUUUCACUCACCCCAAAAAGGGAGUCAAGAGAGAGAAAAACUCUCUGGGUGUUUAUGAGAGCCAUAUUGGACAGUGCUGGUCAUGCUGAUGUCAGGAUGAGAUGCCUGAUUGCAUAUGUACAUUCCAUCAUUGUGCCAGUGUAAUGCACUGGAUGGGUGCGUGUGAUCAUGUCUCCCUCUAGCCAUUGGAUAUAGCGAGGCUAAGGGCAUGCUGCUUUCUGACAGCUAACUCUUACUCCUUUAGUGCAAGUGAUAAGGGCUUGUCAGUGCUUCUGGUACAGCAGUGUGGUGUCUGUGUGUGUAUGUAGUAAAACACAGGGGGCCAGACCCUCCCAAAGAACUCAAUGGAGGCGUGCCAAUUGACUCCAGGUGAGAAUCUGGCCCAGAGUGGGAAAGGUUUCUGAAGCAGAGCCAGUUAGGAAGAGAAAAGAAGUGCAAGGCCAUGAGAGAAGACCAGGCUCUGGAUGUGCAAACCAGGAAAAAUAAAGGGGAAACGCUAGCUGAGUGAAUCCAUUGACCAAUGGAAGAAACUAAUAACAAAGGAUAUGGACAGAGAAAUUAGUUUCUCUCCAAGGGAGAUGGGUGGCAGACUCCAUCCACAGGACCAGCAUCUGGGACAGAAGAGAAGAUCUAAAGUGAAUUGUGACCACACCCCCAAAUGUGCUGUAUCAGGUAAGAUAAUGUAAAGAUCCUGGGAUGAGUGGAGCACACCAUAUAGCCCAGAUAGAUACCAAAGAAGUUCUAGCCCAGCAGCAGGAAUCUCCCCUGGCAGAGAGGGGAGGUACCAGAGAAGAAGAGGGAAGGGACGGAAGAAGAAAAGCAUCAUUGCCAGAAUGAUGUUUAAAAAAGGCAAUGCAGGUGAAAAGAGAAUGUAAGUGCAAAGGUGCUGGGUGUGUUGGGAAAGGGGAGAUUGUGGAAUGUUCAGAGGUGUGAUAGCAGAAUGUGUAAAUGUACCUGAGAUAGCCUCAAUCUAGCUAUAGAGCAGUGAAGCUGUGGCCGCACAGACUUCAGUGUGGGCUAGUUGCCCAAAUAACUACCCACGGUCCCACGUAGGCAUAUGCAGUUCAUGCUGAAACCUGUGUUACUGCCACCUCCCUAAUCCAGGACUCAAGCUAGCUGGAUUAAAGCUAGAUCUAGUACAUCUGUAUGUGCUUCCAUCACACACCCUGAUUGCAGUGUAGACAUACCCCAGAAAAGAACUAAGCUAAUAUGGUUCUUAACCAGCAAAUAUAUUGGGUCAAACCCUACUCUUGUUCACACUGGUGUAAAUCUGGAGUCUCUCCCUUUGAACUGGGCCUGUUGCCUGGUAUUAGUGAAUAUUGCCACCAAUUAGUUUACUGGACUGCAAGUUUAUGAUGUUCUUAAGUGAUAUCAUCACAGCCAAUAUAGAACAUGCUGAAAAACGCUUGGUUGUCCUGAUCCACAGUUUCAAUGACUUUCAAACGGACUCACAGAGGGGAUAAAUAUGGGGAAGCAGGUAUCAACACAAACCGUACCAGAAUAACAGACACCACAUCAACUUCCUGCCAUGUAAGCUGUAUAGUUCCCUCAGUAAAAACUCUCCCCUUGGCUUCAAUGAAGCCAGUUUCAUAAAUCCUUUCCUUGUGCAAUGCCAUUGGAUUGUGAGGUUAAACUGGAUGGCAUUGGAGGUGUUUUCAGUCAAAGGUCCUUAACUCUGAAAUUUACACCCCUGCAGUGGUCCAACAGCACCCAGGGUCUGUUGUGAUAAUUGAGCCUAUAGCUUUACCUUCAUUGUGAGUUUAACUGUAAGCAGUGAGUGAAAGUUUAUAAGAUGUAACAAUAACUUUUAGCAACAAAUGUUAAUGGGAAAAGGUAUGAGAGGGAGACAGAAACUGAGUUAGUCCAAACAAAAAGGCCUCCUGAUAGAACUCAAGGACUGUGUUAAAUGUGGAACUAGAAAUCAGUGAACCAAAAUUGGUGUGUCGGAAACUAGGCCUAAUUGGUGGACAAAAUAAUGAGGGGAUGGGCUAUUCUGCCCACCACUCCCCUUUUGGGGGUCCUUAAACGAAGACUUGGGGGAGAAAAAUUAACAACUGGAGUGAGCUUCACCAUCAUGGCUGCCACCCCAACUGUCUCAUAGGACCACAGACCUUCUUCAUCCUAAUCGUGAGAGAUGUCCUGAGCAGCCCAGGUCAGAGAGAGGCACCCAGAUGACACCACCUGUACCAGCUCCAGCUGAAUCCCAAACCCCACCUCGGAUGAAACGGGACUGGACUUUAACCGCAGCAGCAGCAAUAACAGCUCCAGCAUUUCUUAGCUAACUUUUCUUUUCCCCAUAGGAUAGUUAUUGCCGUCUUUGUUAUCAUCUAAGAGACUGUGAGACACGGGGGCUUUGCCUUCUAAAAACUCUCUCCAGCUCAAGGGAAAGGGAACAAGGGUUGUUGUUGUUAAAAUGAAAGCCUCACUUAAUACUUUACCUGUUAAAUGCUUUAACUGUUUUCCCGUCUUUUCUUUACCUUUAAUAAGAGGUUAAAAUAAUUUGUAGAAGUGUGUUUGCCACGGACCGUGCUAAGCAAUAUGAGGUCUCUAUAGACCAAACCCCAAAGUUAUUUAACGCUGUUUAAUGUUGGACAGUGACUGUUCUAUGUUAACACCUUUGGCCCAAGUACUCCAUGUAAAUUAAUAUAAAAUGUUUGUGUUCCCAAUGUGGGGCCCAAAGUGUUAAAUACAUACUCAGACACUGGCACCUUGGCAAACAAGCAAUUGUUUCCAAAGUUAGUUUAAAACAAAAGUUUGUUUUAAAAUUCUUAAAUGUGUUGAGUUUGUUUGAGAUGAACAUGCAAAACAAACUGUUAACAUUUUUGCUUGAAAAAAAGAGAGGGCUAACGAUUGUUUUAUAGUGAUUUUUAAAAAAAAUCUUGUAAAAUGCUUUGGUUCAUUUUUUUCCCUUGUGUUUUGAGAUUUGUAGUUUCUGUGAUUGGCAAUUUUUAAGAAAAAGUAAAAGUAAUAAUGAGUUGUUUAAAAUUGUUGAAGGUUAAGUGGCUAAAGCAGACUUCCUGAAAUAACAUCUUGGGUAAUUCUCUUCUUAAUAAAAUGCCAGCUUUAUUCCAGGCUACUAUUGCAUUAACUGUGAAUUAAAUCUCAAACCACCGGAACCAAGGGUUCUUGCAGCACCAAACUUGUUGUGAUUGUUUUGGUUUUGCAAUGUUUUUUUCCUUGAUGCUUUUGUGCUUUAGCAAAGGGUUCCCUCCCACCCCCCCACUUUUGUUUUUUAUGUCAAUGAUUUCUGUUACCGUUCUCUGCACAUGAGACAGCAGCACAGUGCAAGUUGCCAAGAUGGCCAUGUUGUCCUCACAAAUGGUGGUGGUAAAACGUAUGCGCAAGAUCUAUCAUAGAUUAAAAAGGCCUGUGAAUUUUUACCAGCAUUGCUCAUGGAUGCAAAAGUGGUUCCAAGAGAACAUUGUUUUGUUGCUUCUUUUUAAAAGAGGCAACACACGUGGUUAAAAAUGCCCUCAGGGCUAAAGUUUUUCUCCAAGUGAGCAAGCUUAACCUCCAGUGCAUAAAAUCUUCCUGGGUUAUGUAAAUGUACAGCCUGUACUGUGUAAGCAGCAAAAGGGGUGCGGGGAAGGAGCUCUUUCCAUUGUUACCCACCCUGGGCGUACAGCCAAAGAAGUGAGAAGAGCUGGUUUGUUCUUAAACGUCUUACAAACAUCGAACAGCAACAGUUCUAAGUUUUGUUUUUGCUACAAAUGAAAUGAGUUAUAAGUUCUUAAACCUUUCAAAUGUUAACAAAGCUUACCUGUAAUCUUUGCAAUAUUUGAUCAAGUAAGAUUUGCAAAUCCCGAGCUUGGGAUAAGAAAUUUGCUAAACAUUAAAAUAUAACCAAGGA
Non-coding RNA from Chrysemys picta bellii (western painted turtle), 7429 nucleotides. NCBI's taxonomy places the organism in Eukaryota, Metazoa, Chordata, Testudines, Emydidae. The record is from RefSeq and is a predicted model, not a curated record.